ACAGGUAUUUUCCUCGGAACAGCGGAGACAGGUGGUGCAUGGUUGUCGUCAGCUCGUGUCGUGAGAUGUUGGGUUAAGUCCCGCAACGAGCGCAACCCUUAUCCUCAGUAGCCAGCGGCCAGGCCGGGCACUCUGUGGAGACUGCCAGGGACAACCUGGAGGAAGGCGGGGAUGACGUCAAAUCAUCAUGCCCCUUAUGACUUGGGCGACACACGUGCUACAAUGGCGUAAACAAAGGGAUGCGAAGGGGCGACCUGGAGCGAACUCCAAAAAUAACGUCCCAGUUCGGAUUGUAGUCUGCAACCCGACUACAUGAAGCUGGAAUCGCUAGUAAUCGCGAAUCAGAAUGUCGCGGUGAAUACGUUCCCGGGUCUUGUACACACCGCCCGUCACACCAUGGGAGCCGGUAACGCCCGAAGUCGGUGACCCAACCGUAAGGAGGGAGCCGCCGAAGGCGGGACUGGUAACUGGGGUGAAGUCGUAACAAGGUAGCCGUAUCGGAAGGUGCG
RNAcentral lists this ribosomal RNA (509 nucleotides) under uncultured bacterium. Its description in RNAcentral is "bacterial SSU rRNA". It matches the Rfam family "Bacterial small subunit ribosomal RNA", at positions 1007 to 1516 of the family's 1533-position model. The record is from RNAcentral.